RNAcentral lists this ribosomal RNA (620 nucleotides) under uncultured Russula. RNAcentral describes it as "eukaryotic LSU rRNA". The stretch from base 183 to 336 matches the Rfam family "5.8S ribosomal RNA". Lineage: Eukaryota; Fungi; Basidiomycota; Agaricomycetes; Russulales; Russulaceae. The record is from RNAcentral.
ACAACCGAGGUGCAAAGGCUGUCGCUGACCCUCAAAGGUUGUGCACGCCCGAGCGCUCUCACACAAUCCAUCUCACCUUUGUGCAUCGNCGCGUGGGUCCCCUUUGCGGGAGGGCUCGCGUUUUCACAUAAUAACUCGAUACAGUGUAGAAUGUUUCUUUUGCGGUCACACGCAAUCAAUACAACUUUCAACAACGGAUCUCUUGGCUCUCGCAUCGAUGAAGAACGCAGCGAAAUGCGAUACGUAAUGUGAAUUGCAGAAUUCAGUGAAUCAUCGAAUCUUUGAACGCACCUUGCGCCCCUUGGCAUUCCGAGGGGCACACCCGUUUGAGUGUCGUGAAUUCUUCAAAACCCUUUUUUCUUCGAACCAUCGUGGUCGGGAAAAGGAUUUUUGGACUUGGAGGUUUAAUGCUCGCCCUUUCUUUUGAAAGCGAGCUCCUCUCAAAUGAAUUAGUGGGGUCCGCUUUGCUGAUCCUUGACGUGAUAAAAUGUUUCUACGUUUUGGGUUUAGCACUGUCGCUUGNAUGCCUGCUCCUAACCCGUCUCAUUGACAAUGAUGGUGCUCUGGUCACUGCCGUCUACAUCGGCGGGAGGCUGGACCCACAAAAAGAAAAACCUUGA